RNAcentral lists this ribosomal RNA (733 nucleotides) under uncultured bacterium. Its description in RNAcentral is "bacterial SSU rRNA". It matches the Rfam family "Bacterial small subunit ribosomal RNA", at positions 28 to 774 of the family's 1533-position model. The record is from RNAcentral.
GACGAACGCUGGCGGCGCGCCUAACACAUGCAAGUCGAACGGAGCUUAGAGAGCUUGCUUUUUAAGCUUAGUGGCGAACGGGUGAGUAACGCGUGAGUAACCUGCCCUAGAGUGGGGGACAACAGUUGGAAACGACUGCUAAUACCGCAUAAGCCCACGGUACCGCAUGGCACUGAGGGAAAAGGAUUUAUUCGCUUUAGGAUGGACUCGCGUCCAAUUAGCUAGUUGGUGAGGUAACGGCCCACCAAGGCGACGAUUGGUAGCCGGACUGAGAGGUUGAACGGCCACAUUGGGACUGAGACACGGCCCAGACUCCUACGGGAGGCAGCAGUGGGGGAUAUUGCACAAUGGGGGAAACCCUGAUGCAGCGACGCCGCGUGGAGGAAGAAGGUUUUCGGAUUGUAAACUCCUGUCGUUAGGGACGAUAAUGACGGUACCUAACAAGAAAGCACCGGCUAACUACGUGCCAGCAGCCGCGGUAAAACGUAGGGUGCAAGCGUUGUCCGGAAUUACUGGGUGUAAAGGGAGCGCAGGCGGGAAGACAAGUUGGAAGUGAAAACCAUGGGCUCAACCCAUGAAUUGCUUUCAAAACUGUUUUUCUUGAGUAGUGCAGAGGUAGAUGGAAUUCCCGGUGUAGCGGUGGAAUGCGUAGAUAUCGGGAGGAACACCAGUGGCGAAGGCGGUCUACUGGGCACCAACUGACGCUGAGGCUCGAAAGCAUGGGUAGCAAAAA